RNAcentral lists this ribosomal RNA (550 nucleotides) under Astrothelium floridanum. RNAcentral's name for it is "SSU rRNA". It matches the Rfam family "Bacterial small subunit ribosomal RNA", at positions 351 to 931 of the family's 1533-position model. The record is from RNAcentral. Lineage: Eukaryota; Fungi; Ascomycota; Dothideomycetes; Trypetheliales; Trypetheliaceae.
GCAGUGAGGAAUAUUGGUCAAUAGCCUAACGGCUGAACCAGCAACUUGGGAGAAUGGUGCUUAUUAGUUGAGUAAGUAAACAUUUAUCUUGUAUAUAGUUCUAGGUAAAAUUUUGAUAAUGACAACUUUUUAUUUAUUUGUCUUGACCAAAUCUUGUGCCAGCAGUCGCGGCAACACAAGGAAGACAAGUGUUAUUCAUCUUAAAUAGGUUUAAAGGGUACCUAGACGGUAAAUUAGGCCAUAGUAGGUACGUUUUUACUAGAGUUAUACAUGCAAGGGGAUUGUGUCAGUAUUACCAGAGUAGAGAUGCAAUUUUUUGAUACUGUUAAGACUGGUAAAGGCGAAAGCAAACCUUUAUAUAAUAACUGACGUUGAGGGACGAAGGCUUGGGGCGCAAACAGGAUUAGAUACCCUAAUAGUCCAGGCAGAGAAUUAUGAAUGUCAUAGGUUAUUUUUAAAAUAGUCUAUAAAUGAAAGUGUAAGCAUUCCACCUCAAGAGUAAUGUGGCAACGCAGGAACUGAAAUCAUUAGACCGUUUCUGAUACCAGCC